GACUGGCCCAGGGAGGUCGGCAACGACCACCCAGGGCCGGAAAGUUGGUCAAACUCGGUCAUUUAGAGGAAGUAAAAGUCGUAACAAGGUCUCCGUAGGUGAACCUGCGGAGGGAUCAUUA
RNAcentral lists this ribosomal RNA (121 nucleotides) under Ramularia collo-cygni. RNAcentral describes it as "partial 18S ribosomal RNA". It matches the Rfam family "Eukaryotic small subunit ribosomal RNA", at positions 1713 to 1831 of the family's 1831-position model. The record is from RNAcentral. RNAcentral also lists the same sequence under 1 other name. Lineage: Eukaryota; Fungi; Ascomycota; Dothideomycetes; Mycosphaerellales; Mycosphaerellaceae.